Long non-coding RNA from Mya arenaria, 2013 nucleotides. RefSeq lists it as uncharacterized. NCBI's taxonomy places the organism in Eukaryota, Metazoa, Mollusca, Bivalvia, Myida, Myidae. The record is from RefSeq and is a predicted model, not a curated record. The transcript is spliced from 4 exons.
CUGUGUUAAGAUGUCGGGAAUGUGUUAGACAAAUGAUUUUGUUUUAUGGAGCUUUGAAGAGCGAUGAAUGGCACUAAAGUGGUGCCAAAUGGAUAUCUCAAACACCCAUUGUUGAUGUGUGAUGCUGAUAAUACAGAGACAGCUAGAGUGACAGAGUUUGAUGAAUAAACUUAAAUUAAAAAACAGAAAUAACCACCAUCUCUCUCAGAGGUCAUCUUUCUCAUUAUUGUGGGGAAACCUCAAAGGGCAUCAGGAAAACCUUCAUCAACCUCUUUGUGCGCAGUGGCUUGUGCAACAGUGUUUCAGAAAUUAUCAUUAAAAUGGGGAUAAUGGAUGACUGGCCACACAUAUGGGGCUAUGGACAAGCUUCAGAGCAGGCUGCCAGGUGGUGGUGUUAGUAGUUUAAACUCCGGGUCCCGGCGUGGGCACAUUGAAGGGUCCCUGAGUGACAGUUCAACCAUCGCACACCUAUCCUGGGCAGAACCAGUACUACGUGCCUUCACCUCUGCAAGGAACUGACAACUUCUGUACAUGACAGGUGCAGUGGUGCAGUGGUACAGUGCGAAUGGUCGUAGAAAGGAUUUCAUAACCAAUCACAACAGAGGUGACCUGGUACGCCCGGGAAUCGAACCCGGGUUGUCCAAUUCAGAGUCCAACGCUCUACCGAUUGAGCUGACCGGGCGGACAUAUUAGCUACAUUAGAUGAUAAGCCAUCUGUGCUGGACAUUCUUCACAAUAAAAUGUGAUGUCACAUGAGCUGUCUAUCUCAACAGCUCACACUGUCCGUAUUUGACUAAAGGAAUGAAUGAAGUCACUGCAGAAGUUAGAUUGAGGAAUGUCCAUGUCACUACCCAUCAUUUGGAAGGAGUUGGAUAAAAAAAGUGUGGCCUAUGUAUUGAAACAGGUCCGAUUUCCAGUUACGGACAGUCUUGAUUUGUCUGAUUACAUUUUUGACCAACAUGAUGGCCUAAAAGAACACUUACUGGUAACUGGUAAAAUCAUGGCCCAGUUGUUCCAAGAGGCAGGCGAGUGGGAAGUUACUAGACUCCAUUUCUUUAUGGGUUGAUCUGAGGUUCCAGUUCAGUUAAAGUACUGAUGGAACACCAAGUGUUUGCCAUAAUACAGCAACAUUUGAUUUGUAACUAUGUAUUUGUUUGAAUUGUUGAAACAGUACUGUUUACUAAAUAAUGUGUAUGUAUAUGAAGAAUAAUAUUAUAAAUAAUUUGUAAGAACCUUUUGAUAUUAAGUAAAAUGUUGAUAAGUCUAAAUAUGUAUCUGCGAAUCAUUUUUGUAUAUCUGUAAAGAUUACAUUGCCUAUAUUUCUCAAUUUAUAUUUUUCUUUUAGCCAGUCAAUAACUUUUCUUAAGUUCUAUCUUCAAAAUUGUCGGGACAGGGAUUAUAGCCCUUAAUUAACCCAAAUAUGUAACAUUCAAUGCAAAAUUUCUAAUUGGCUGCAUUUAGGCAGUUCAGAUGCAGGAACAAACAUCACUUGGGUCCUUAAUAAUAGCUUUCCAUCUGACAUUGAAGAUCCAAUAAAAGGAAUUUGUCAUGUGACUGUUUAUUAACUCUCAAUUUAUUGAAAGUGAAAUUACUUACAUGAUUUGUAAGAACUAAAUUAUAAUGAUAUCAAAUGAUUGUUUAAAUUAAAUAAAAUAGAUGAUUACAUACAUGAACUAUUUUUAUUUCUUGUUUGUCAAUAUGAAGAGUAAUGCAAUGGCUUUUGAAUUUCAUAAAAAAGGAUGGAAAAAUGUAUGUUUAUUGUUUAAGCAAUUAAUUAAGUAAUAAAAGGAUUUUUUUUUCUUUUUUUCAAAUUGUGCUAUCUUAUAAUACAGAUCGUUAUUUGUUUAAUUUUGGUACAAAUGAAGUAUAUAAGGUAUGUCUAAUGUUACAAAUAGCAAAAAUUCAAAUGCAAAUCAUGGUGACUUGACUAAAUGUGAAUGCUAAUUGAAUCAAACUAGUUAAUAAAUAAUAAUGUUAAUUUGAAACAAUUGAGAGUAUAAGUUUGGUUUGUGU